UGAGUAAAAGCCCGCUGGGUUGGGUGUUUAGUUGUUAAUUAAAAUUUUACGGGAUCGAGGCCCGUUUGCUCAG
Molecule: transfer RNA, 73 nt
Filed under: Hemiphyllodactylus zalonicus
Lineage: Eukaryota; Metazoa; Chordata; Lepidosauria; Squamata; Gekkonidae
Description: tRNA-Asn
Source: RNAcentral